GUGUGUGUGUGUGUAUGUAUAUAUGUGUUUCUUUGAAACGGUGAUAAGAGUUUUCUGAGUAUUGAUAUGAUAUUCAUUUAUCUGGUAUUGUUAAUUGAUUAUUUUUUUGUUACUUAUGGUGUAGCGGUGUAGAAUUCUUACUGGGUUGUAAAGCUCACAUGUCCCUUUCUCUUUUUCUUUUUUAGAGUUGUAAGUUGCGUAGAACUUAGCUAUGGUUGAUAUCACAGGUGGAAUGGAUGAAUAGAUAGAGUAUCAGUGAUACUGGUUGAAUGAUUAAAUUCUGUAAUUGAAUUAGUUUUAUUGUUCGUUAUAAAUUGAGAUCAUUGUUGAUUAUGGAUAUUGAGGUUGUAUUAAAUUUUCAGGCCUAGCAUAUUCUCUAGGGU
Molecule: long non-coding RNA, 383 nt
Filed under: Phoenix dactylifera (date palm)
Lineage: Eukaryota; Viridiplantae; Streptophyta; Magnoliopsida; Arecales; Arecaceae
Description: long non-coding RNA (PDAC_LNC002326)
Source: RNAcentral